Molecule: ribosomal RNA, 253 nt
Filed under: uncultured bacterium
Lineage: Bacteria
Description: partial 16S ribosomal RNA
Rfam family: Bacterial small subunit ribosomal RNA
Source: RNAcentral
UACAGAGGUCUCAAGCGUUGUUCGGAUUCAUUGGGCGUAAAGGGUGUGUAGGUGGCGCGCUAAGUCGGGUGUGAAAUUUCGGAGCUUAACUCCGAACUGCAUUCGAUACUGGCGUGCUUGAGGACUGGAGAGGAGACUGGAAUUCAUGGUGUAGCAGUGAAAUGCGUAGAUAUCCGGAGGAACACCGGUGGCGAAGGCGGCUUACCUGGACCGACACUGACGCUGAGGCGCGAAAGCUAGGGGAGCAAACGGG